RNAcentral lists this ribosomal RNA (449 nucleotides) under uncultured bacterium. RNAcentral's name for it is "bacterial SSU rRNA". It matches the Rfam family "Bacterial small subunit ribosomal RNA", at positions 329 to 795 of the family's 1533-position model. The record is from RNAcentral.
GCCCAGACUCCUACGGGAGGCAGCAGUGGGGAAUAUUGCACAAUGGGGGGAACCCUGAUGCAGCGACGCCGCGUGAGUGAAGAAGUAAUUCGUUAUGUAAAGCUCUAUCAGCAGGGAAGAAAAUGACGGUACCUGAGUAAGAAGCCCCGGCUAACUACGUGCCAGCAGCCGCGGUAAUACGUAGGGGGCAAGCGUUAUCCGGAUUUACUGGGUGUAAAGGGGGCGCAGACGGCAGCGCAAGCCAGGAGUGAAAGCCCGGGGCCCAACCCCGGGACUGCUCUUGGAACUGCGCGGCUGGAGUGCAGGAGGGGCAGGCGGAAUUCCUGGUGUAGCGGUGAAAUGCGUAGAUAUCAGGAGGAACACCGGUGGCGAAGGCGGCCUGCUGGGCUGCGACUGACGUUGAGGCCCGAAAGCGUGGGGAGCAAACAGGAUUAGAUACCCCAGUAGCC